GGUGUCAUCUUCUAAUGGUCAGGAAACGAGGUUUUCAACCUCGCAAUCUGAGUUCGAUUCUCAGUGACAUCACCA
RNAcentral lists this transfer RNA (75 nucleotides) under Erysipelotrichaceae bacterium. Its description in RNAcentral is "tRNA-Glu". It matches the Rfam family "tRNA". From Rfam's summary of the family: Transfer RNA (tRNA) molecules are approximately 80 nucleotides in length. Their secondary structure includes four short double-helical elements and three loops (D, anti-codon, and T loops). Lineage: Bacteria; Bacillati; Bacillota; Erysipelotrichia; Erysipelotrichales; Erysipelotrichaceae. The record is from RNAcentral.